Molecule: long non-coding RNA, 714 nt
Organism: Phodopus roborovskii (desert hamster)
Lineage: Eukaryota; Metazoa; Chordata; Mammalia; Rodentia; Cricetidae
Exons: 3
Source: RefSeq, a predicted model, not a curated record
UCUCUUGGAGUCGACACUUCCAGCCCGAGGAAGCAGAUCUUCAUGGGUGGCAGUAAAGGAAUCUACCAAGAUGGAGAAAUAAGUAAGGUUCCACAUGAACCUGUUACCAAUUCGACUUCAAAUAUCUGGGAGUGCAGCAGCAGCAAAGCUUAAGCUGCAGCAUCAGCAUCAGCAAGGUGGCCUUGGAAAGCUGAUCAGAGCCCUGGAUACAUCUCUCCUGGGAAGCACCAACAUCUGCAGUCUCCCAGGAUUUGUGUGAUGGGGAAAGACUCCAUUGUGUUUGGGAUUGGUCUCCAGGUCAAAGUCUUUUAAAUUUCAUUCACAAACAGAGUUAACUGAGAUUGACUUCCCACAGUGGCCUACAUGCAUCUGUUCACCAAUGAAAACAUCAUCAAAUUGUCUUCUGAAGGGAUAAACCUAACCUGUCUAAAGAGUCUUAAAAGAAUAUAAGUGGGAAAUGAAAUUUACUCUUGGUUCCAAGUGAUGUCUUCCUUUUUAUCUUUUGUGUCUCUUCCAUAUGUUUAAAUCUCAGCCCAGAUUUUUAGGGAAAUGCUUGCCUUGAAAGAUGCACACAAUUUACUGUCUCAAAGAGGAAUAAAGCUGUUCAACCUACUGAUCAUAAACAGUUCUAAAUAUGGCCAGAAUCUGUUGCCAUCUCCUGAGCUCAAAUGCCAAACUGUGACUUAGCCUCAAGAAAUCAUGUUUCUAACUGAU